AACCAAAGCUGGCGACCGGCGCACGGGUGAGUAACACGUAUCCAACCUGCCUCAUACUCGGGGAUAGCCUUUCGAAAGAAAGAUUAAUAUCCGAUAGCAUAUAUUUCCCGCAUGGGUUUUAUAUUAAAGAAAUUCGGUAUGAGAUGGGGAUGCGUUCCAUUAGUUUGUUGGCGGGGUAACGGCCCACCAAGACUACGAUGGAUAGGGGUUCUGAGAGGAAGGUCCCCCACAUUGGAACUGAGACACGGUCCAAACUCCUACGGGAGGCAGCAGUGAGGAAUAUUGGUCAAUGGACGCGAGUCUGAACCAGCCAAGUAGCGUGAAGGAUGACUGCCCUAUGGGUUGUAAACUUCUUUUAUAUGGGAAUAAAGUGGUCCACGUGUGGAUUUUUGUAUGUACCAUAUGAAUAAGGAUCGGCUAACUCCGUGCCAGCAGCCGCGGUAAUACGGAGGAUCCGAGCGUUAUCCGGAUUUAUUGGGUUUAAAGGGAGCGUAGGCGGAUUGUUAAGUCAGUUGUGAAAGUUUGCGGCUCAACCGUAAAAUUGCAGUUGAUACUGGCAGUCUUGAGUGCAGUAGAGGUGGGCGGAAUUCGUGGUGUAGCGGUGAAAUGCUUAGAUAUCACGAAGAACUCCGAUUGCGAAGGCAGCUCACUGGAGUGUAACUGACGCUGAUGCUCGAAA
This 679-nucleotide ribosomal RNA is filed under the name uncultured Bacteroidales bacterium. Its description in RNAcentral is "bacterial SSU rRNA". It matches the Rfam family "Bacterial small subunit ribosomal RNA", at positions 80 to 758 of the family's 1533-position model. Lineage: Bacteria; Pseudomonadati; Bacteroidota; Bacteroidia; Bacteroidales. The record is from RNAcentral.